UUUGUGUCUGUUCUAAUACCACAGAGCCUAAAAUUAGCUUUGUGGCUUCGCUUUCAGACUAAAUUAACUCUUCAAACCUAUCCUAGUGUGAGUUUCUAAACAUGAACAUUGCACUGGUAUCUUGGAGAAACAUCU
This 135-nucleotide small nucleolar RNA is filed under the name Operophtera brumata (winter moth). RNAcentral's name for it is "Small nucleolar RNA psi28S-1192". It matches the Rfam family "Small nucleolar RNA psi28S-1192". Rfam says of the family: psi28S-1192 is a member of the H/ACA class of snoRNA. The record is from Rfam by way of RNAcentral. Lineage: Eukaryota; Metazoa; Arthropoda; Insecta; Lepidoptera; Geometridae.